This 497-nucleotide ribosomal RNA is filed under the name uncultured bacterium. RNAcentral describes it as "partial 16S ribosomal RNA". It matches the Rfam family "Bacterial small subunit ribosomal RNA", at positions 28 to 507 of the family's 1533-position model. The record is from RNAcentral.
GAUGAACGCUGGCGGCGUGCCUAAUACAUGCAAGUCGAGCGAACAGACGAGGAGCUUGCUCCUCUGACGUUAGCGGCGGACGGGUGAGUAACACGUGGAUAACCUACCUAUAAGACUGGGAUAACUUCGGGAAACCGGAGCUAAUACCGGAUAAUAUAUUGAACCGCAUGGUUCAAUAGUGAAAGACGGUUUUGCUGUCACUUAUAGAUGGAUCCGCGCCGCAUUAGCUAGUUGGUAAGGUAACGGCUUACCAAGGCAACGAUGCGUUGCCGACCUGAGAGGGUGAUCGGCCACACUGGAACUGAGACACGGUCCAGACUCCUACGGGAGGCAGCAGUAGGGAAUCUUCCGCAAUGGGCGAAAGCCUGACGGAGCAACGCCGCGUGAGUGAUGAAGGUCUUCGGAUCGUAAAACUCUGUUAUUAGGGAAGAACAAAUGUGUAAGUAACUAUGCACGUCUUGACGGUACCUAAUCAGAAAGCCACGGCUAACUACGUG